RNAcentral lists this ribosomal RNA (581 nucleotides) under Verrucaria devensis. RNAcentral describes it as "SSU rRNA". It matches the Rfam family "Bacterial small subunit ribosomal RNA", at positions 423 to 1060 of the family's 1533-position model. Lineage: Eukaryota; Fungi; Ascomycota; Eurotiomycetes; Verrucariales; Verrucariaceae. The record is from RNAcentral.
UCGUAUAAAAUUCUAGAUAGAAAACAGAUAAUGACAACUAUCUAUCUAUUAGUCUUGACCAAAUUACGUGCCAGCAGUCGCGGCAACACGCAGAAGACAAGUGUUAUUCAUCUUUAUUCGGUUUAAAGGGUACCUAGACGGAAAAUCAAGCCAUAGUAGGUACUAAUUUUCUAGAGUUUUAUGGGAGAAAGUCGAAUACCUGGAGUAGAGAUACAAUAUGUUAAUACUGGGUAGACGGUUAACGGCGUAGGCAACUUUCUAUGUAAAAACUGACGUUGAGGGACGAAGCCCUGGGUAACGAGAAGGAUUAGAUACCCCAGUAGUCCAGGGAGACAAUGAUGAGUGCCAUAGGCUAGAAAUAUUAGUCUAUAAAUGAAAGUGUAAGCAUUCCACCUUAAGACUAAAGCGGCAACGCCCAAAUUGAAAUCAUUAGACCGUUCCUGAAACCAGUAGUGAAGUAUGUUAUUUAAUUCGAUGAUCCGCGAAUAACCUUACCACGUUUUGAAUACUACUGGUGCACGACCAAUUUAAUUUAAAUUAAAUUUAAUAGUAGUACAAGCGCUGCACGGCUGUCUUUAGUU